RNAcentral lists this ribosomal RNA (397 nucleotides) under uncultured bacterium. RNAcentral's name for it is "partial 16S ribosomal RNA". It matches the Rfam family "Bacterial small subunit ribosomal RNA", at positions 360 to 774 of the family's 1533-position model. The record is from RNAcentral.
AAUCUUGCGCAAUGGGGGAAACCCUGACGCAGCGACGCCGCGUGAGCGAUGAAGGNCUNNGGGUCNUNAAGCUCUGUCCUAUGNNNNNAAAAGGACGGUACCAUAGGAGGAAGCCCCGGCUAACUACGUGCCAGCAGCCGCGGUAAUACGUAGGGGGCAAGCGUUGUCCGGAAUUAUUGGGCGUAAAGGGUGCGUAGGCGGGUAUGUAAGUCCGGUGUGAAAUGCUUCGGCUCAACCGAGGAGUUGCAUUGGAAACUGCGUAUCUAGAGUUCAGGAGAGGGAAGCGGAAUUCCUAGUGUAGCGGUGAAAUGCGUAGAUAUUAGGAGGAACACCAGUGGCGAAGGCGGCUUCCUGGACUGUAACUGACGCUGAUGCACGAAAGCUGGGGUAGCGAACA